Molecule: ribosomal RNA, 500 nt
Filed under: Veillonella parvula
Lineage: Bacteria; Bacillati; Bacillota; Negativicutes; Veillonellales; Veillonellaceae
Description: bacterial SSU rRNA
Rfam family: Bacterial small subunit ribosomal RNA
Source: RNAcentral
GACGAACGCGGGCGGCGUGCUUAACACAUGCAAGUCGAACGAAGAGCGAUGGAAGCUUGCUUCUAUCAAUCUUAGUGGCGAACGGGUGAGUAACGCGUAAUCAACCUGCCCUUCAGAGGGGGACAACAGUUGGAAACGACUGCUAAUACCGCAUACGAUCUAAUCUCGGCAUCGAGGAUAGAUGAAAGGUGGCCUCUACAUGUAAGCUAUCACUGAAGGAGGGGAUUGCGUCUGAUUAGCUAGUUGGAGGGGUAACGGCCCACCAAGGCGAUGAUCAGUAGCCGGUCUGAGAGGAUGAACGGCCACAUUGGGACUGAGACACGGCCCAGACUCCUACGGGAGGCAGCAGUGGGGAAUCUUCCGCAAUGGACGAAAGUCUGACGGAGCAACGCCGCGUGAGUGAUGACGGCCUUCGGGUUGUAAAGCUCUGUUAAUCGGGACGAAAGGCCUUCUUGCGAAUAGUGAGAAGGAUUGACGGUACCGGAAUAGAAAGCCACGCA